AUUGAACGCUGGCGGCAUGCCUUACACAUGCAAGUCGAACGGUAACAGGUCUUCGGAUGCUGACGAGUGGCGAACGGGUGAGUAAUACAUCGGAACGUGCCUAGUAGUGGGGGAUAACUACUCGAAAGAGUGGCUAAUACCGCAUGAGAUCUACGGAUGAAAGCAGGGGAUCGCAAGACCUUGUGCUACUAGAGCGGCCGAUGGCAGAUUAGGUAGUUGGUGGGAUAAAAGCUUACCAAGCCGACGAUCUGUAGCUGGUCUGAGAGGACGACCUGCCACACUGGGACUGAGACACGGCCCAGACUCCUACGGGAGGCAGCAGUGGGGAAUUUUGGACAAUGGGCGAAAGCCUGAUCCAGCAAUGCCGCGUGCAGGAUGAAGGCCUUCGGGUUGUAAACUGCUUUUGUACGGAACGAAAAGCCCCGGGUUAAUACCCUGGGGUCAUGACGGUGCCGUAAGAAUAAGCACCGGCUAACUACGUGCCAGCCGCCGCCGUAA
RNAcentral lists this ribosomal RNA (498 nucleotides) under uncultured bacterium. RNAcentral's name for it is "partial 16S ribosomal RNA". It matches the Rfam family "Bacterial small subunit ribosomal RNA", at positions 30 to 523 of the family's 1533-position model. The record is from RNAcentral.